Molecule: unclassified non-coding RNA, 395 nt
Filed under: soil metagenome
Description: partial contains 5.8S ribosomal RNA, internal transcribed spacer 2, and large subunit ribosomal RNA
Rfam family: 5.8S ribosomal RNA (bases 1-122)
Source: RNAcentral
GAUGAAGAACGUAGCGAAAUGCGAUACUUGGUGUGAAUUGCAGAAUCCCGUGAACCAUCGAGUCUUUGAACGCAAGUUGCGCCCGAAGCCAUCAGGUUGAGGGCACGUCUGCCUGGGCGUCACAUAUCGUUGCCCAAUGCCUAUUGCAGUGCAAUAGGAAUUUCUAGGGCGAAUGAUGGCUUCCCGUGAGCGUUGUUGCCUCGCGGUUGGUUGAAAAUCGAGUCCUUGGUAGGGUGUGCCAUGGUAGAUGGUGGUCGAGUUAGAACGAUACCGAUCAUGUGCAUGCUCCCCAAAAUAUGGCCUCUAUGACCCACACGCGUCUUUUGACGCUCAUGACGAGACCUCAGGUCAGGCGGGGCUACCCGCUGAAUUUAAGCACAUCAAUAAGCGGAGGA